CCUACUGCUAUCGGGGUGGGACUAAGACAUGCUAGUCGAGCGUCUUCAGGCUAUGUUGAGGGCGCGGCGUACGGCUCAGUAACACGUGGCCAACCUACCCUUAGGACGGAGACAACCCCGGGAAACUGGGGCUAAUCCCCGAUAGGUGAGGACGCCUGGAAUGGUCUCUCACCCAAAGGACGUUGAAGCCAUGCUUUUCAACGUCGCCUAAGGAUGGGGCCGCGCCCGAUCAGGUUGUUGGUGAGGUAACGGCUCACCAAGCCUAUAACCGGUACGGGCCGUGAGAGCGGUAGCCCGGAGAUGGGCACUGAGACAAGGGCCCAGGCCCUACGGGGCGCAGCAGUCGCGAAAACUCCGCAAUGCGCGAAAGCGUGACGGGGCUACCCCGAGUGCCGUCCGCUGAGGAUGGCUUUUGCCCGGUGUAAUGAGCCGGGAGAAUAAGGAGAGGGCAAGUCUGGUGUCAGCCGCCGCGGUAAUACCAGCUCUUCGAGUGGUAGGGAUGAUUAUUGGGCUUAAAGCGUCCGUAGCCGGCUUAACAAGUCUCCUGUUAAAUUCAGCGACCUAAUCGUUGAGCCGCGGGAGAUACUGUUAGGCUAGGAGGCGGGAGAGGCCAACGGUAUUCUCGGGGUAGGGGUGAAAUCCUAUAAUCCCGGGAGGACCACCAGUGGCGAAGGCUGUCGGCUAGAACGCGCUCGACGGUGA
This 702-nucleotide ribosomal RNA is filed under the name uncultured archaeon. RNAcentral's name for it is "bacterial SSU rRNA". It matches the Rfam family "Archaeal small subunit ribosomal RNA", at positions 23 to 700 of the family's 1478-position model. The record is from RNAcentral.